Molecule: non-coding RNA, 84 nt
Organism: Gnomoniopsis sp. IMI 355080
Lineage: Eukaryota; Fungi; Ascomycota; Sordariomycetes; Diaporthales; Gnomoniaceae
Source: the annotation of a GenBank genome assembly
GGGCAUAUGGCGCAGUGGUAGCGCGUUCGCUUUGCAUCGAGCAAGUAAUGUGAAAGGUCUUGGGUUCGACCCCCAAUUUGUCCA